GGAGAGGUGUCCGAGCGGUUGAAGGAGCACGCCUGGAAAGCGUGUAUACGAGUCAAAUCGUAUCGCGGGUUCGAAUCCCGCUCUCUCCGCCA
Molecule: transfer RNA, 92 nt
Filed under: Nevskia sp.
Lineage: Bacteria; Pseudomonadati; Pseudomonadota; Gammaproteobacteria; Nevskiales; Nevskiaceae
Description: tRNA-Ser
Rfam family: tRNA
About the family: Transfer RNA (tRNA) molecules are approximately 80 nucleotides in length. Their secondary structure includes four short double-helical elements and three loops (D, anti-codon, and T loops).
Source: RNAcentral